Molecule: ribosomal RNA, 519 nt
Filed under: Bacillus cereus
Lineage: Bacteria; Bacillati; Bacillota; Bacilli; Caryophanales; Bacillaceae
Description: bacterial SSU rRNA
Rfam family: Bacterial small subunit ribosomal RNA
Source: RNAcentral
CGGGGCUAAUACCGGAUAACAUUUUGAACCGCAUGGUUCGAAAUUGAAAGGCGGCUUCGGCUGUCACUUAUGGNNGGACCCGCGUCGCAUUAGCUAGUUGGUGAGGUAACGGCUCACCAAGGCAACGAUGCGUAGCCGACCUGAGAGGGUGAUCGGCCACACUGGGACUGAGACACGGCCCAGACUCCUACGGGAGGCAGCAGUAGGGAAUCUUCCGCAAUGGACGAAAGUCUGACGGAGCAACGCCGCGUGAGUGAUGAAGGCUUUCGGGUCGUAAAACUCUGUUGUUAGGGAAGAACAAGUGCUAGUUGAAUAAGCUGGCACCUUGACGGUACCUAACCAGAAAGCCACGGCUAACUACGUGCCAGCAGCCGCGGUAAUACGUAGGUGGCAAGCGUUAUCCGGAAUUAUUGGGCGUAAAGCGCGCGCAGGUGGUUUCUUAAGUCUGAUGUGAAAGCCCACGGCUCAACCGUGGAGGGUCAUUGGAAACUGGGAGACUUGAGUGCAGAAGAGGAAAGU